This 253-nucleotide ribosomal RNA is filed under the name uncultured bacterium. RNAcentral's name for it is "partial 16S ribosomal RNA". It matches the Rfam family "Bacterial small subunit ribosomal RNA", at positions 524 to 776 of the family's 1533-position model. The record is from RNAcentral.
GACAGAGGUGCCAAGCGUUAGGCGGAAUCACUGGGCUUAAAGCGUGUGUAGGCGGACUUGUAAGUACCUUGUGAAAUCCCACGGCUCAACCGUGGAACUGCUUGGUAUACUGCUUGUCUUGAGCCACUUAGGGGCUACCGGAACAAAUGGUGGAGCGGUGAAAUGCGCAGAUAUCAGGAGGAACACCAAUUGCGAAGGCAGCUCGCUGGGACGUAACUGACGCUGAGACGCGAAAGCGUGGGGAGCAAACAGG